RNAcentral lists this ribosomal RNA (253 nucleotides) under uncultured bacterium. Its description in RNAcentral is "partial 16S ribosomal RNA". It matches the Rfam family "Bacterial small subunit ribosomal RNA", at positions 524 to 776 of the family's 1533-position model. The record is from RNAcentral.
UACGGGGGGAGCAAGCGUUGUUCGGAUUUACUGGGCGUAAAGGGCGCGUAGGCGGCGUGACAAGUCACUUGUGAAAUCUCCGGGCUUAACUCGGAACGGUCAAGUGAUACUGUCGUGCUAGAGUACAGAAGGGGCAACUGGAAUUCUCGGUGUAGCGGUGAAAUGCGUAGAUAUCGAGAGGAACACCUGAGGCGAAGGCGGGUUGCUGGGCUGAUACUGACGCUGAGGCGCGAAAGCCAGGGGAGCAAACGGG